This 1003-nucleotide ribosomal RNA is filed under the name Natara lutea. RNAcentral's name for it is "SSU rRNA". It matches the Rfam family "Eukaryotic small subunit ribosomal RNA", at positions 94 to 1105 of the family's 1831-position model. The record is from RNAcentral. Lineage: Eukaryota; Fungi; Ascomycota; Leotiomycetes; Helotiales.
UGGCUCAUUAAAUCAGUUAUCGUUUAUUUGAUAGUACCUUACUACUUGGAUAACCGUGGUAAUUCUAGAGCUAAUACAUGCUAAAAACCCCGACUUCGGAAGGGGUGUAUUUAUUAGAUAAAAAACCAAUGCCCUUCGGGGCUCCUUGGUGAUUCAUAAUAACUUAACGAAUCGCAUAGCCUUGUGCUGGCGAUGGUUCAUUCAAAUUUCUGCCCUAUCAACUUUCGAUUGUAUGGUAUUGGCUUACAAUGGUUUCAACGGGUAACGGGGAAUUAGGGUUCUAUUCCGGAGAGGGAGCCUGAGAAACGGCUACCACAUCCAAGGAAGGCAGCAGGCGCGCAAAUUACCCAAUCCCGACACGGGGAGGUAGUGACAAUAAAUACUGAUACAGGGCUCUUUUGGGUCUUGUAAUUGGAAUGAGUACAAUUUAAAUCCCUUAACGAGGAACAAUUGGAGGGCAAGUCUGGUGCCAGCAGCCGCGGUAAUUCCAGCUCCAAUAGCGUAUAUUAAAGUUGUUGCAGUUAAAAAGCUCGUAGUUGAACCUUGGGUUUGGUUGGUCGGUCCGCCUCACCGCGUGCACUGAUCCGACCGAAUCUUUCCUUCUGGGGAACCGUAUGCCCUUCACUGGGUGUGCUGGGGAACCAGGACUUUUACUUUGAAAAAAUUAGAGUGUUCAAAGCAGGCCUAUGCUCGAAUACAUUAGCAUGGAAUAAUAGAAUAGGACGUGUGGUUCUAUUUUGUUGGUUUCUAGGACCGCCGUAAUGAUUAAUAGGGAUAGUCGGGGGCAUCAGUAUUCAAUUGUCAGAGGUGAAAUUCUUGGAUUUAUUGAAGACUAACUACUGCGAAAGCAUUUGCCAAGGAUGUUUUCAUUAAUCAGUGAACGAAAGUUAGGGGAUCGAAGACGAUCAGAUACCGUCGUAGUCUUAACCAUAAACUAUGCCGACUAGGGAUCGGGCGGUGUUAUCUUUUUGACCCGCUCGGCACCUUACGAGAAAUCAAAGUC